This is a non-coding RNA of Nelumbo nucifera (sacred lotus), 1679 nucleotides long. The record is from RefSeq and is a predicted model, not a curated record. NCBI's taxonomy places the organism in Eukaryota, Viridiplantae, Streptophyta, Magnoliopsida, Proteales, Nelumbonaceae.
ACCGAGCAAAAGCAGAAGUCGAGCGGUACUCGAUACCACCGAGGGAUCAAAACAACCGGAGAUGAAGACAGCCGAUACGACGUCGACCGCAGCCAACGGCAAUUCCCAUGGAGAAAAAGACAAAUACGACGACAAGAUCGCCGGAUUCCUUGCGUUUUCAGGUAACGCCAUGAACACUCUCAAAUCCUUCAACCCUUUCAAAAACAACGACUUCAGUAGCAGUACCAGCACCUGGAGUAGCAAAUUCUGCCAAGCAUCAACUCCGCCACUUGAACAAUCCCGGGCGUCUGCUCCUCUGCGUGGAGACAAAGACAAAGACAAUGACAAGACCUCUGAAUUCGUCCUGUUUUCCGGUACCGUCGUGAGCAUUCUCAAAGCCCUCAACCCUAAAAAUAGCAGCAACAUCUGGAGCAGAAAACCGUGCCACGAAUCAACUCCGCCACUUGAAGAAUCCCAGGCGCCCGCUCCUCCGGAAGCUGUCAAGAACCUGGCGAGAUCCCAAGAGCAAGACAGGCCACAAUCGUCGUGUCUAACUAUAGAGAUUGAGAGGGGAGAUACCCUUUGGGGUCUCUCUCGGAAAUACGGGGUGUCGAUUGAUGCGAUCAAGGCGGCUAAUGGGCUCGCAGGGGACACCAUUUAUGCUGGGAAGAAACUCAUCAUUCCAGAUGUUUGAUAUUUCUUCUUCUUCUUCUCCCUUGUAGUUUCCUUGUGCACUGUGCUGUAGAUUUUAAUUUUAUGCUUUUUUUUCUCCUUUUUUUGUUUUUUGUUUUGGAAGCGAAGGGAUGAACAUUCAAUGUAACAAAGAGGAAAAGUUCACUGGUUAUGGUGACUUCGGACUUGGGAUGUCGGGUCUGGGCUUACGAUUUGAGUCCACGAGAUAUGUGCCUUUGGUUGGAAAUUUAGAAUUGAAUUGAAACUUGUUUAAAAUGAUCUAUAAUGAUUUUGAUUUUUUAUUUUGUAAUAAUGAUUUUGAAUUCCAUGCCUCUUCUGUUCUAUUUCUCUAGUCAUUUGUUAUCACUUUAUGUGCUGAUUUAAUAUGCAUUGCAAAGAUGUCUUGUUUACCAUGGAUAUAGGCAAGAGACCUAUUUCAGCUAUAUGUUUCAAGCCAGGUGAGUUUUCUUGCUGUCUCAUGCCUAAUGAAACAGUUCCUUCUUUUUAGCACCAAUUUUCUCUUUGCUUUCUAAGAUUCAUCUGCAAAAUAUGUGUUUCUGUGAAAAUUCAGGCUAGCACUUUUCUGAGCUUGGAAAUUCAUAGAACUUUAGUAUUUGGUAGUGCCUUGGCAAUUCCUAGUGUGUUCACUGUUCUGUUCAUCCUUUUUGGCUUCUGUAUGCUUGGGGGAUCUUUGUGUUUGAUUUUUAUUCUUUCAUUGAUUAACAAGUUUGUAAGUCAUACAUUUUCCCAAUCUUUAUUGGCAGAAAGCAUUGAUUUUACUAGCUCAAAGUCUUACCAGCAUGGUUUUAAACGGCGCCAAUGAUGAACUCGCCUCCUGAAAGAGAGAUGAUGCCCAAGAAGGCUUAAGCAUUGAGGCAUGAGGAGUAUGCCUAGGCAAUAAAAGGCAUAAGCCUCAGAAGUUCUUUUACAGCUUGGCAUGCAUAGGGAGAUUAUUUUGGUCACAUUGACCAAAUAACACUAAAUUAUAACAUAAAGAAUUCAUGUUUAAUGUCCAAUGUUCUGUUUGU